GCCCAAGUGGCGGAACGGUAGACGCGCUCGUUUCAGGGGCGAGUGGUUAACAGCCGUAGGGGUUCAAAUCCCCUCUUGGGCACCA
This 85-nucleotide transfer RNA is filed under the name Bacilli bacterium. RNAcentral's name for it is "tRNA-Leu". It matches the Rfam family "tRNA". From Rfam's summary of the family: Transfer RNA (tRNA) molecules are approximately 80 nucleotides in length. Their secondary structure includes four short double-helical elements and three loops (D, anti-codon, and T loops). Further hydrogen bonds mediate the characteristic L-shaped molecular structure. tRNAs have two regions of fundamental functional importance: the anti-codon, which is responsible for specific mRNA codon recognition, and the 3' end, to which the tRNAs corresponding amino acid is attached (by aminoacyl-tRNA synthetases). tRNAs cope with the degeneracy of the genetic code in two manners: having more than one tRNA (with a specific anti-codon) for a particular amino acid; and 'wobble' base-pairing, i.e. permitting non-standard base-pairing at the 3rd anti-codon position. Lineage: Bacteria; Bacillati; Bacillota; Bacilli. The record is from RNAcentral. RNAcentral also lists the same sequence under 2 other names.